Molecule: non-coding RNA, 125 nt
Organism: Hordeum vulgare subsp. vulgare (domesticated barley)
Lineage: Eukaryota; Viridiplantae; Streptophyta; Magnoliopsida; Poales; Poaceae
Source: Rfam
CUUAUACUCCAUCCGUUCAAAAAUACUUGUCAUAUGCAUGUAUGUAUCUAGAUGUAUUUUAGUUCUAGAUACAUUUAUUUUUAUCUAUUUGUGUGACAAGUAAUUUCGGACGGAGGGAGUAGUAU